This 704-nucleotide long non-coding RNA is filed under the name Homo sapiens (human). Its description in RNAcentral is "HSALNT0353684". The record is from RNAcentral. Lineage: Eukaryota; Metazoa; Chordata; Mammalia; Primates; Hominidae.
GGGAUCGGGAGGGAAGGUGGGGACUUAGAUCCUCCUGACACAGAGUUGAGAAUGAAAAAUGUUAAAACACUUGGAUAUGCAGGAAGUAGCAGGCCAGAGAGGACUCGAAGAUCCUUAGAAGGAGCCAUAGACGGAACCAUAGGAGGCGCCCAGGAGCUAUGGGCUCCAGAAGUUUCCUCCUAAACUGUGGUCUCAGCGAGGCUCAUUGACACUCACCGGGGUUUCGACAUUCUCCCUGGCUAGGGCCUGUUCUGGAAAUAGACCAAGGGGGAGAUGGAGCCCCUGGCCGUGGGACAUCCAAUCUGAUGGUGAUGAGAAGGCUGCUCAGGACCGAGGCUGAGACGGGCGACCAGGACGGGAUUGUAUGGCUGCAGGAGGCUACACAGUCCCAGGAGGCUGCUUCUAAGAGGCCCACGUGGCCUGCAUGGGGAUGCGCCUGGCUGUCCAGCAUGUGGUCAUUUGAAUUGUACAUGUUUCACUGGGAUGCCUACAGAAAAGUAGACAGAAGAUGUGGAAAAAGUUUUUGAAAUGUUGCAAACUUAGCUACUUUUAAAAUAAAAAAAAUAGCUUUAUAAUUAUAAAAGCAAUAUGUAAAUCUUAAAAUAAUUUGCUACAUUCUAGUAAGCAUCUUAUGAUCUCUAUGUGCCCUAUAACAUUAUGUUGUAUAGUUUAAAUAUAUACAAUAAAAUCUAUUUUAAAAAAUA